UGCCUGGAAAAUACAAGUGGAUGAUGAUAG
Molecule: non-coding RNA, 30 nt
Filed under: Mus musculus (house mouse)
Lineage: Eukaryota; Metazoa; Chordata; Mammalia; Rodentia; Muridae
Source: RNAcentral